RNAcentral lists this ribosomal RNA (462 nucleotides) under uncultured Desulfobulbus sp. Its description in RNAcentral is "bacterial SSU rRNA". It matches the Rfam family "Bacterial small subunit ribosomal RNA", at positions 925 to 1382 of the family's 1533-position model. Lineage: Bacteria; Pseudomonadati; Thermodesulfobacteriota; Desulfobulbia; Desulfobulbales; Desulfobulbaceae. The record is from RNAcentral.
ACAAGACGGUGGAGUAUGUGGUUAAUUCGAUGCAACGCGAAGAACUUACCUGGUCUUGACAUCCCGGAGACCCUUAGGAAACUAGGGGGUGCUUCCAUCUGGAAGAAUCUGGAGACAGGUGCUGCAUGGCUGUCGUCAGCUCGUGUCGUGAGAUGUUGGGUUAAGUCCCGCAACGAGCGCAACCCUUGCCUUUAGUUGCCAGCAGUUCGGCUGGGCACUCUAAAGGGACUGCCGGUGUUAAACCGGAGGAAGGUGGGGAUGACGUCAAGUCCUCAUGGCCUUUAUGACCAGGGCUACACACGUACUACAAUGGCCGAUACAAAGGGCAGCGACACUGCGAGGUGAAGCCAAUCCCGUAAAAUCGGUCUCAGUCCGGAUUGGAGUCUGCAACUCGACUCCAUGAAGUUGGAGUCGCUAGUAAUCGUGGAUCAGCAUGCCACGGUGAAUACGUUCCCGGGCCUU